UCCAUUGCCACCGCAUGCUGCUGAAGG
RNAcentral lists this non-coding RNA (27 nucleotides) under Mus musculus (house mouse). Lineage: Eukaryota; Metazoa; Chordata; Mammalia; Rodentia; Muridae. The record is from RNAcentral.